GAAAAUGACAAAGGACUGUGUGACCUAUUGUGCGGGAAGUUACACAACAGUUUCCUUCCUCAUCUUGGCAAUGGGGAUCUUCUUUUCUUUCAGCUUUCAGUGAGUACUGACCGGCUUGGAUUUUCCAGAGACUAUCAAGACAGUGCAUCUCCGCGAAUUUCCCUGUCAGCCGUGUGCAGUCUAGAUCCUUUAUACUUCUAGCUCCAAGCAUGGUUUAGUAGAAUUUGUAACUUAAAAUUGUUCAUUGUAAGUUUGAUGCUAUUGUGAGAGGACUACGUCGAACGUAAAAAAAAAAAAAAA
Orbicella faveolata is the source of this 300-nucleotide long non-coding RNA. NCBI's taxonomy places the organism in Eukaryota, Metazoa, Cnidaria, Anthozoa, Scleractinia, Merulinidae. The record is from RefSeq and is a predicted model, not a curated record.